GGGAUUAGCCACCCACUACGCGCCCGCCCCGUGCUCGACGUGCAUUCCUCAGCCCCCGCGCCCCCUCCGCUCUCUCCUCCCCCUCCUUGUCCCUGUCCCAACCCUAAUCCUUUUCCCUCUCCACCCCGCAGCCGCCCCCUAGCUCCUCGUCCCCUUCACUCAGUCCAUCCCUCCUCAUCCCAGAUCCAGCGGAUCCGAGGCGUGCAGACGCGGAGGCGAGUUUCUCUGGCGCCGGUGGCAACCUGCAAGCAAAGGGCGGCGGCGGCGCUCGAUUUGAUCUGCAGGAGAGAGAGAGAUGGAGAGGAGGGACGCCACCAUGGGAGAACAGGGCCAACUUCGUGGUGGGCAUGGAGGCGCAGAGGAGGAUGGCGAUGGGGGAUGGGAGCAGAGUAGCAGGACUUCCAGGCGGUGCUCGCGUCAUGGUGGAGUGGAGGAGCUCGUCGUCCAUCAUCACAAUCCACAAUCUAGAUCUGAGAUAGAAAAGAAGAGAAAGAAUCUUGUGGAAUUUCAGAUCUGAGAUAGGAACGGGGAGAAAGAAUCUUGUGAAAGAGCCUGACGAAAAAGAAAGGGAAAGGAAUUUUCUCCUUGCUUUCAUAUGUCGAUAUCAACUCACUGCUUGAUUCAGUCAAGGCAAAGGGCAUUAGGAGACCUCCAAUCUGCAGAAUGGCAUGCUUGAGAAGCUCAUCAAUGCUAAUUCAACUGAGGUUGAUUGGGAACGUCCCUUCUAUUUGAAUUUAACACGUCAUAGUCAAUGCAGUAUUAGAUACCCUGAGGAUGGAUGUUUUAUUCAAAGAAUGUCCCAGAAAUUGUGAAUCUCGGUGUACAAGAAUCAACACAAAUGCUGAAACAUUUUUUUUGCUGAAGGUAGUAUUUUUUUCCUGUUCCCAGGCAUUUUCCUCAUGUUUGCUUCUAAAAUGUUACUUGCAAGGCUUAUAUGAUUCAUGGAGUUCAAUUAGCAAUGCUUAUAAUAUUCCACCCAAAGAAUAAUAUUGUUGCAGGGGUAGAGACAUGCAAUGGCGAGGGUUGCACCGAAAGCGAGGGAUGGCAUGGUAGAACUGGAGGUUGUCCCAUGGCGAGGGUAGGGCAGGGCAGAUCAGUCCUAAAUAUCUCAAUGUUGAAUCAUUUCCAAUAGCCUUCCAGCAAGUUCAUUCUUCUUCUCUGAUUGGGUCAUGUUAGGCCAGAAGAGUAAAACUAGAGAGGAAGGAUAACUUAUUAGGCAAUUAUGUUCGUUGUACUGCUUGGUAUUUGUUUCGAAUAUGAAUAAUUUUGGUUAUGAUUUCUACACUGCAUAGUGUCGUUAUUAUGAGAUUAUUGAUUACUGUCACAUAUCUCUUUUCAAUGCAAACAGAUAUGCAUUUGCUUUGGAUCU
Non-coding RNA from Triticum urartu, 1369 nucleotides. Lineage: Eukaryota; Viridiplantae; Streptophyta; Magnoliopsida; Poales; Poaceae. The record is from RefSeq and is a predicted model, not a curated record.